Molecule: long non-coding RNA, 4550 nt
Organism: Piliocolobus tephrosceles (Ugandan red Colobus)
Lineage: Eukaryota; Metazoa; Chordata; Mammalia; Primates; Cercopithecidae
Source: Ensembl
AAAAUUUUAACAUUGACAACAUAAAAACUGGGAAUGAAAUUUUAAAAAAGUAUAAUGAAGUAUCACCAAUUUAUAAAGAAAAUACAAUAUCAAAAAAUGAAGAAACAAAUGAAAACAAUAAAAACGAUUAUUUAGUUAAUCAAAAUACAGUAAAUAAAAAACCAUAUAUAGAUAAUACUAAACAUAUACAAGAAUGUAAUACGAAAAAAUUAAGUUGUGAUACCAUUACUACUACUACUACAGAAACUUAUAAUAAUAAUUAUGAACCUAUAUCAUUUACUAAUAAUUUUUUAAAAAGUAAGAAUACAAUAGAUAAUGACUUUGUAAAUAAUGAUAAUAAUGAUGAUACAUCCUGUACAGAAAGAAAUUUAGAAGAAGCUGUAAAUAGAAGAAAUAAAAUAAAACAAAUGGUUUUAGAAUAUAAUUCUUUAAAUUUAAGUUUAUGUAGUGAUAGUUUUGAAAAUUAUGAUCUAAGAAAAAAAACAUCUUUAUAUAAUUUGGAUUAUAAUUUUGAAAAAGAGGGUGUGAAUGAAAAAAAUGAAAUUGUUUAUAAAAAAAAAGAACCAGAAAGAAAUUAUUCAGGUGUAACUAAUAUUUUAGAUUACAAUGACGUAGACAACAAAAAAACAUAUUAUGAUAAUGACAUUAAUAAAAAUAGUUUUGAAGAAGAAGGAAAAGAAGAAAAAAAAGACUUUUAUAAUAAUAAUGUAAAUAAAAAUAAUGACAGCACAUCUGCUAAAAUAUUUAAUAAUAACAAUAGUCAUUAUUGUUAUAAUAAUAGUAGUAGUAAAGAUAUUAUACAACCACGAAUAAAUAAUAUAUCUUUAGAUAAUUCAUUGUUUAGUGAUAAUGAUGAUGAUAUAGACGAUUAUAAAAGUUUUAUAACAUUAGAUAGUAAUAGUAGUAUAUUUAAAACUAAACCGCUUAAAGUACCAGACAUUUCGUUUUUGAAUUCUGUUAGUCGAACUUAUAGUAGUAAGGACUUAUUAAAUAACGUGGGUGAAAAAAAUAGUACUAGCAAAAAUGGCAAAGGUAGUAAUGUUUUUAGUAGUAAUAAUGACAACAAAAACGAUAGCAACAAUAACAAUAGCAACAAUAACAAUAGCAACAAUAACAAUAGCAACAAUAACAAUAGCAACAAUAACGAUGACCGUUGUGGGUAUAUACAAAACCGAAUACUUUAUGAAAAGUUAGAAGGGUUAUCUUUUUAUUGUGAUGAUACCGGUACUGUUGACGACGAUAAUAAUAAUGACAAUAGUAAUAAUGACAAUAGUAAUAAUUACAAUAGUAAUAAUGACAAUAGUAAUAAUGACAAUAGUAAUAAUGACAAUAGUAAUAAUGACAAUAGUAAUAAUGACAAUAGUAGUAACAAUAAUAAUAACAACAACAACAGCAGUAAUAAUAAUAAUUACUUUAGUUUUAUCUCGGAACCAACUGAAGAAAAAAGCACCAUACCCAAAGUAGCAGAUUCCGGAGACCAUUAUGAUUAUUUGGAUAGUUCGUCUGUUCUACCUGAACAAAGUGAUUGUAGUGAGCAUACGUAUAAAGAGCUAACCAUAGAAAAGGAGUUAAUAAAUAAAAAAAAAAUUGAUGUGAAUAAUGAUAAUAAAAUCUGUAAUAAAUACAGUUACAAACGUAACAAUACAUAUAGGAAAGAUAAAACAAACGAAGAAAAUGAAGAUAGAUAUGAGCAUGUGUACAAAAAAGAUGAAGAUUCAAGAAUAAAUGAAAAUACUAGUUAUACAAAAAAUAAACUAUUACAAGAGGGGUUAAGUUUGUAUGACCUGGCAAGUGACCAAUCGAGAGAUGAACCGAGCGAUCACCCGCGUCACACACGUUUAGACUUAACUAAUAAAUUAAAUUUAUUAAAAAAAAAAUCGGACAUGUUUGAUAAUGUUGAAGAAGAAAAAGAGGAAGAGGAAUGGGAAGAGGAAGGGGAAGGAAAAGGGCUUAAACCCCCCUAUUUAAUAAAAAAAAAAUGUGCGAAUAAUCAUAGUAUAAAUUGUGAUUCUACCACUACUACUAAUACCACGAAUACUACUAAUACUAAAAGUGACAGUAUUCGUAGCAGUAACCACCAAAUUAAUAAUGACAUAACCUACUUUACAAACAUAAAUACUAAUGAAAAUUCAAAUAAACUAGAAGAAAAAAAUUACUUUUAUAAUAACAUAAAAAAAGAAAGUAACAUUAACACAAAUGAUAUAUUUUUAAAUAAAACUGAUGGUUUCAAUGCUAUUAAAGAAUUUCAACACGACAUUUUAAAUGAUCAGUCAUUAAAAAACGAACAAACGAAUGAACAAGUGCAAAAAAAAAAUAAAAUGAAUAGUAGUUUAAAUAGUUCAGAAUCGUAUGAUAAUGAAACUAUGUCUAAAGAUAAUGAGUAUAUAAAUAAAAUUGACAAAACAUAUAUCAAAAAAAUUGUUAAAAAUAAUAAAACAAGAAUAGAAAAAUUAUAUGUUAAUGAUUUGAGUCAAAGUAGUGCUGCUAGUGAAACCAGUACUACUGAUAUAUUUCAAAAUAACUCAAAUGAUAAUAUAGAAGAAAAUAAAAACAUAUUCUUACCAGUAAACAAAUUUAAGAACAGACUUUUUUCAGAAAAUGAAAAUGCAUAUUCUAUGAAUACAUCUAAUAAAGAACAGUUAGAAGAACAACAACAACCUAAAAUGAUUAAUUGUGUAUUCGACAGUUUUAGUGAAGAGUUUGACGAACCCAUUCCUGUACCUACACCUGCUGCUUCUCUUUUAUCUGAAUCAUUAUACUCAUCAAGAAAUAAAGAAAUUAUAAAUAAACAAACGGAGGGGGCAAGCAUAACAAAUAGUACACGUUCGGAUAAUGAACAAAUAGUUUUUACGUCAAAGGAAAAUAUACGCGAGGGGAUAACAACAAUGGAUAUAAUAAGUCAAAACGAAUUUUUACGAGGGGAACAUGAUGUGAACCUUACUAGCGACAGAGAUGGUAAUAAUCGUAUGAGUAGUUUGCCUAGCAGUAGUCUUAGUAGUAAUAACAAUAAUAGUGUGUGUAGCGAUGUCAGUAGUAAUGUCGGUAGUAAUGUCAGUAGUAAUGUCGGUAGUAAUGUAGGACAGUCCUAUGACCCUGCUAUAAGAAAUAAACAAAAAAACAGUAUCAAUGAUAUGUUAAAUGAAUAUAAUUUAAAUAAUAACAAAAGUGUGAGCAAUGUAAAUAUGAACUUGAGUUAUCAAAAUAAAAAUGUUACUGUGGACAAAACAUAUAUAGAUGUAUAUCAUACUGAUGAUAAAGUUAAAAAUAUGAAUAUUACACAUGAAUUGGUAAAAAGUGGUAUAACAUUUAUGAAGGACAAUAAUAAGAAAUACGAUGGUAAUAUAAACACUGAUGGAGCUACAUAUAAUAUGGAUACUAGCGUCAGCGGUUACAACUACAACGAAACAAGUAGUAAUAACAGUAGUAACUUAUGUUAUAAUUACAAAUCGCUUGAGAACAAAAAAAAACGAUUACAAAAAAUAGUAAACACGCUCGAAAUUAAAAAAGUGAAAAUGAACACAAAACAAGGGAUAUUUGAAAUAACUGAUGACGGUGAAGUGAUAUUUACUUUUUUAGGAAGGUCAGAAAUAAGAGAGUAUAAAAAUGUUAAAAAUAAUAAUUUUAAAAAUAUAGAUAUAUCAAAACCAAGAAAAUUGUUAUUUAUAAUUGAUGUGAGUGGAAUUAAUAUAAAAGUAAAAGAUGUUUUGAUAAAUCAAAUUUUAGAUUAUUAUAAUAUACUUGCAGAAGAGUUACCUAGAGCACAUACAAUAAGAUAUGAUUAUGCAUAUGAUGUAGUUGAAACUUUGAAAAAACAUACACCUAAAAUAACAUUAACAAAAAAAUGGCUAGGUACAUAUAAUUUAAUGAGUAAUGGAACUACUCCUGAUUUUAUUGCAACUUUAAAUAAUAAUAUAUUUAUUGAUAAAAUUGAAAUUAAGAAUAGUAAUGUAUCAUUUACUUUAAAAGAUAAAAAUGCGAUUAAUGUACAUAUUGAUGAUUUAAAUGCAGUUACCACAAAAUUUAAUAAAAGAUUGAUACAAAAUUCAAAUGAUAGAAAAGAACUAAAUAAAAAUACAAUGAAGAAUGUAACACAAAUAGAAAAACAAAACCCAUUUUUAAUUAAUUUAACACAGAAUAAGGUUUACGAUUAUAUUUAUGCCGAUUCCGAUGGUGAUGGUAAUACCUAUGAUGAUGUUGAUGCUGAUGUAAAUGCUAUUAUAAUGAGUUUAGAAACUUUACUAAAAAAAGCGGGAAUAUCUAUUGAUAGUAUUAUUCAAAAUUGGUGCACUACUUUACAAGCCUACUCACAGUGUUUAAAUUUGUUAACUAAAGGAAAUACUGAAUAUACUUUGAAACUAAAAAAGACGUUACCAUAUAUAACAGAACAAACUGAAGCUUAUAAAAGGGGUAUUUAUUUUUCCAUAUUUCCGCAAUCGAUUGAGGAAUGAGUGGGUGGUAAUCUUGUAAACAAGUAAUCAUCCAAACAGCCACCCAGACAGCCAAUCAAACAAACGAAUAAACAAACGAAUGGAAAAAAAAAUAAUUUUAUU